GGUCUGUGAUGGGUGUUGGCAUGUAUUAUCUGAGCAUAAAUCUGAAGAUGGUGGGUUUAGCUCUAGAAUUAUUCUGAGACCUG
This is a non-coding RNA of Aptenodytes forsteri (emperor penguin), 83 nucleotides long. Lineage: Eukaryota; Metazoa; Chordata; Aves; Sphenisciformes; Spheniscidae. The record is from Rfam.